Molecule: long non-coding RNA, 227 nt
Organism: Oncorhynchus tshawytscha (Chinook salmon)
Lineage: Eukaryota; Metazoa; Chordata; Actinopteri; Salmoniformes; Salmonidae
Exons: 3
Source: RefSeq, a predicted model, not a curated record
UUAGGUAUGUACCAGUGGGAUGUGGAGGUUUAGGGCUGAUUUGGUGGUCUGGUUAGGUAUGUACCAGUGGGAUAGGAGGUUUAGGGCUGAUUUGGUGGUCUGGUUAGGUAUGUACCAGUGGGAUGUGGAGGUUUAGGGCUGAUUUGGUGGUCUGGUUAGGUAUGUACCAGUGGGAUGUGGAGGUUUAGGGCUGAUUUGGUGGUCUGGUUAGGUAUGUACCAGUGGGA